CAGCAGCCGCGGGAACACGAAGGGUGCAAGCGUUAAUCGGAAUUACUGGGCGUAAAGCGCGCGUAGGUGGUUUGGUAAGAUGGAUGUGAAAUCCCCGGGCUCAACCUGGGAACUGCAUCCAUAACUGCCUGACUAGAGUACGGUAGAGGGUGGUGGAAUUUCCUGUGUAGCGGUGAAAUGCGUAGAUAUAGGAAGGAACACCAGUGGCGAAGGCGACCACCUGGACUGAUACUGACACUGAGGUGCGAAAGCGUGGGGAGCAAACAGGAUUAGAUACCCCCGUAGUCCCUGUCUCUUAUAA
This 301-nucleotide ribosomal RNA is filed under the name uncultured bacterium. RNAcentral describes it as "partial 16S ribosomal RNA". It matches the Rfam family "Bacterial small subunit ribosomal RNA", at positions 509 to 809 of the family's 1533-position model. The record is from RNAcentral.